GCCAAACUACAUCUUUUUUUCUGGACUAUUUUAUUCCUCAGUCUUGACCCCAAAUCCAACUUUCUGGGCCGAACCCAUGACAUCAUAAUCUGUCUGUUGCCAUCGACACAAACAGAAGUCCUAGGUGUGGAGGCAUGGCAGAGCUGUCAGAACACCUGGGGUCGACAUCCGACACUCUGUGUGAUUUUGGACAAGUUCCCACUCCUCUCGGAGCUGGUUCCUCAUCUGAAAAAUGAGGUUGCAAUACCUACCUCUGAGAUGGGGAGGGGAUCGAAUAAAAUAAGAGGUGUCAUAGCCCCGAGGAAGCGAGAAGUAAUUCCUUCAACAGCUACUCAGGAAGCACCUGGCACUGUUGCUGUCAAACAGGACGAAAAAAGGACCCGCCCUCUUGGAGUUUCCAUUCGAAGGGGGCAUUUGCACUGGAGUUAUUUGCCGGACCAGCUCUUCCUGAAGGAGCCUGUCUCUAUUUGUGAAACCACCAAGUUCCCCAUCACGUCAGAACCUCAGGAUCGUCUCUGACAGGGCAUUUUGGACACUCACUGAGAGAACUGAUGUAAAAAAAGCUCUGCAGAUGGGGAGGAUUACAACAAAGCUCUCGUGGAUGAGAGAGGCAGAAUUUCAUUUCAGCUUCACAGGAUUGUUCGAUCCUCACUGGGGAGGAGGUAACUUCUUUGGCAUGAGAGUUGAUGUGACACUGAGAUGAGAGGAAUAGGUGAGCAAAGCCUGUUUGGCGACCAGGAAGAAGAGUUGUGGGAACCAGUACCUCAAGAACUGGAGAAAAUUCUGGACCUUCACAAUUAUUACCACCAAACACUACCAACUGCCAUCACCAAGCUUCAACAAUCUCUCCCUUAGACAGCUAUCCAUUAUGGAAAUACCUGCUCAGCAUGGUUCUUCCUAAAAAUGUUGCUCUAUAUCAUGACAGUCAUUAUACACUACCUCCCAACGGGAUCUGUUUGGUUAUUUUAACUGUGUUUCUAUUGGCAGUGUAUAAGAUGAAACACCUUCUAAUUAGUCUUGAACAUCCCCCUGAAGAUAUUUACCAGUUAUCCAUAGCUAUGUAACAAACCAUCCAAAACUUAGUGGCUUAACACAACCAUUUAUUUAGCUCAUGAUUCUGUGGGUUGGCAAGUUGGGCUAUCCUCAAGUGGGCGGUUCUCCUGCUGGUCUUGGCUGGGUUUACUCAUUUGUCCAUGUAUACUGUGGGUCAGCGGGGAAGCUCUGUUUCUGGGGGUCAGCUGGCUGUCA
RNAcentral lists this long non-coding RNA (1248 nucleotides) under Equus caballus (horse). RNAcentral's name for it is "lncRNA (ENSECAG00000038269.3)". The record is from RNAcentral. Lineage: Eukaryota; Metazoa; Chordata; Mammalia; Perissodactyla; Equidae.